AAUCAACGCUGGCGGCGUGCCUAACACAUGCAAGUCGAGCGGUAAGGCCCUUUCGGGGGUACACGAGCGGCGAACGGGUGAGUAACACGUGGGUGACCUGCCCUCAGCUCUGGGAUAAGCCUGGGAAACCGGGUCUAAUACCGGAUAUGACUCCAUGACGCAUGUUGUGGGGUGGAAAGCCUUGUGCGGCUGAGGAUGGGCCCGCGGCCUAUCAGCUUGUUGGUGGGGUGANGGCCUACCAAGGCGACGACGGGUAGCCGGCCUGAGAGGGCGACCGGCCACACUGGGACUGAGACACGGCCCAGACUCCUACGGGAGGCAGCAGUGGGGAAUCUUGCGCAAUGGGCGAAAGCCUGACGCAGCGACGCCGCGUGGGGAUGACGGCCUCGGU
RNAcentral lists this ribosomal RNA (391 nucleotides) under uncultured bacterium. Its description in RNAcentral is "bacterial SSU rRNA". It matches the Rfam family "Bacterial small subunit ribosomal RNA", at positions 28 to 423 of the family's 1533-position model. The record is from RNAcentral.